GCUACGCAUCCAACGCGUUGGGAGCUCUCCCAUAUGGUCGACCUGCAGGCGGCCGCGAAUUCACUAGUGAUUCGUAUUACCGCGGCUGCUGGCACGUAGUUAGCCGGUGCUUAUUCUUCCGGGACCGUCAUCCCCCACGGGUAUUAACCACGAGGCUUCCUUUCCGGACAAAAGUGCUUUACAACCCGAAGGCCUUCUUCACACACGCGGCAUUGCUGGAUCAGGCUUGCGCCCAUUGUCCAAAAUUCCCCACUGCUGCCUCCCGUAGGAGUCUGGGCCGUGUCUCAGUCCCAGUGUGGCUGGUCGUCCUCUCAGACCAGCUACAGAUCGUCGCCUUGGUAGGCCUUUACCCCACCAACUAGCCAAUCUGCCAUCGGCCGCCCCUUGAGCGAGAGGUCCGAAGAUCCCCCCCUUUCCUCCUUAGAGCGUAUGCGGUAUUAAUCCGGCUUUCGCCGGGCUAUCCCCCACUCCAGGACACGUUCCGAUGUAUUACUCACCCGUUCGCCACUCGCCACCAGGGUUGCCCCCGUGCUGCCGUUCGACUUGCAUGUGUGAGGCAUGCCCCCAGCGUUCAAUCUGAGCCAUGAUCAAACUCUAAUCGAAUUCCCGCGGCCGCCAUGGCGGCCGGGAGCAUGCGACGUCGGG
Molecule: ribosomal RNA, 645 nt
Filed under: uncultured beta proteobacterium
Lineage: Bacteria; Pseudomonadati; Pseudomonadota; Betaproteobacteria
Description: partial 16S ribosomal RNA
Source: RNAcentral